GAUGAACCCGCGGCCUAUCAGCUAGUUGGUGAGGUAACGGCCCACCAAGGCUAAGACGGGUAGCUGGUCUGAGAGGACGACCAGCCACACUGGAACUGAGACACGGUCCAGACACCUACGGGUGGCAGCAGUCGAGAAUUUUUCACAAUGGGCGCAAGCCUGAUGGAGCGACGCCGCGUGGGGGAUGAAUGGCUUCGGCCCGUAAACCCCUGUCAUUUGCGAUCAACCGUUAUUGUUUAAGAGAUGAUAACCUGAUAGUAGCGAAAGAGGAAGGGACGGCUAACUCUGUGCCAGCAGCCGCGGUAAUACAGAGGUCCCAAGCGUUGUUCGGAUUCACUGGGCGUAAAGGGUGCGUAGGUGGCGAAGUAAGUCGGAUGUGAAAUCUCCGAGCUCAACUCGGAAACUGCAUUGGAAACUACUUUGCUUGAGGGUUGGAGGGGGGACUGGAAUACUUGGUGUAGCAGUGAAAUGCGUAGAUAUCAAGUGGAACACCAGUGGCGAAGGCGAGUCCCUGGACAACUCCUGACACUGAGGCACGAAAGCUAGGGGAGCAAACAGGAUUAGAUACCCUGGUAGUCCUAGCCGUAAA
Molecule: ribosomal RNA, 589 nt
Filed under: uncultured bacterium
Lineage: Bacteria
Description: bacterial SSU rRNA
Rfam family: Bacterial small subunit ribosomal RNA
Source: RNAcentral